ACGGCUCAGUAACACGUGGCUAACCUACCCUUAGGACGGGGACAACCCCGGGAAACUGGGGCUAACAUCUGAUAGGUGAGGAGGCCUGGAAUGGUUCCUCCCUGAAAAGGCGUUGAAACCAUGCUUUUCAGCGUCGCCUAAGGAUGGGGCCGCGCCCGAUCAGGUUGUUGGUGGGGUAACGGCUCACCAAGCCAUUAACCGGUACGGGCCGUGAGAGCGGGAGCCCGGAGAUGGGCACUGAGACAAGGGCCCAGGCCCUACGGGGCGCAGCAGUCGCGAAAACUCCGCAAUGCGCGAAAGCGUGACGGGGCUACCCCGAGUGCCGUCCGCUGAGGAUGGCUUUUCCCGGGUGUAAUGAGCCGGGGGAAUAAGGAGAGGGCAAGACUGGUGUCAGCCGCCGCGGUAAUACCAGCUCUCCGAGUGGUAGGGACAAUUAUUGGGCUUAAAGCGUCCGUAGCCGGCUUGGCAAGUCUCCUGUUAAAUUCAGCGACUUAAUCGUUGAGCCGCGGGAGAUACUACUAGGCUAGGAGGCGGGAGAGGCCGACGGUAUUCCCGGGGUAGGGGUGAAAUCCUAUAAUCCCGGGAGGACCACCAGUGGCGAAGGCUGUCGGCUAGAACGCGCUCGACGGUGAGGGACGAAAGCUGGGGGAGCGAACCGGAUUAGAUACCCGGGUAGUCCCAGCCGUAAACGAUGCGGGCUAGGUGUUGAGGUGGCUACGAGCCACUUCAGUGCCGCAGGGAAGCCAUUAAGCCCGCCGCCUGGGGAGUACGGCCGCAAGGCUGAAACUUAAAGGAAUUGGCGGGGGAG
This 808-nucleotide ribosomal RNA is filed under the name uncultured archaeon. RNAcentral's name for it is "bacterial SSU rRNA". It matches the Rfam family "Archaeal small subunit ribosomal RNA", at positions 85 to 876 of the family's 1478-position model. The record is from RNAcentral.